UGGCGAACGGGUGAGUAACACGUGGGUAAUCUGCCCAUCAGAAGGGGAUAACACUUGGAAACAGGUGCUAAUACCGUAUAACACUAUUUUCCGCAUGGAAGAAAGUUGAAAGGCGCUUUUGCGUCACUGAUGGAUGGACCCGCGGUGCAUUAGCUAGUUGGUGAGGUAACGGCUCACCAAGGCAACGAUGCAUAGCCGACCUGAGAGGGUGAUCGGCCACACUGGGACUGAGACACGGCCCAGACUCCUACGGGAGGCAGCAGUAGGGAAUCUUCGGCAAUGGACGAAAGUCUGACCGAGCAACGCCCGCGUGAGUGAAAGAAAGGUUUUUCGGA
RNAcentral lists this ribosomal RNA (335 nucleotides) under Enterococcus casseliflavus. RNAcentral describes it as "bacterial SSU rRNA". It matches the Rfam family "Bacterial small subunit ribosomal RNA", at positions 96 to 422 of the family's 1533-position model. Lineage: Bacteria; Bacillati; Bacillota; Bacilli; Lactobacillales; Enterococcaceae. The record is from RNAcentral.